This 468-nucleotide ribosomal RNA is filed under the name uncultured bacterium. RNAcentral describes it as "partial 16S ribosomal RNA". It matches the Rfam family "Bacterial small subunit ribosomal RNA", at positions 28 to 507 of the family's 1533-position model. The record is from RNAcentral.
GACGAACGCUGGCGGCGUGCUUAACACAUGCAAGUCGAACGGAAAGGCCCUGCUUUUGUGGGGUGCUCGAGUGGCGAACGGGUGAGUAACACGUGAGUAACCUGCCCUUGACUUUGGGAUAACUUCAGGAAACUGGGGCUAAUACCGGAUAGGAGCUCCUGCUGCAUGGUGGGGGUUGGAAAGUUUCGGCGGUUGGGGAUGGACUCGCGGCUUAUCAGCUUGUUGGUGGGGUAGUGGCUUACCAAGGCUUUGACGGGUAGCCGGCCUGAGAGGGUGACCGGCCACAUUGGGACUGAGAUACGGCCCAGACUCCUACGGGAGGCAGCAGUGGGGAAUAUUGCACAAUGGGCGGAAGCCUGAUGCAGCAACACCGCGUGCGGGAUGACGGCCUUCGGGUUGUAAACCGCCUUCGCCUGUGACGAAGCGUGAGUGACGGUAAUGGGUAAAGAAGCACCGGCUAACUACGUG